RNAcentral lists this ribosomal RNA (253 nucleotides) under uncultured bacterium. RNAcentral's name for it is "partial 16S ribosomal RNA". It matches the Rfam family "Bacterial small subunit ribosomal RNA", at positions 524 to 776 of the family's 1533-position model. The record is from RNAcentral.
UACGAAGGGGGCUAGCGUUGUUCGGAAUUACUGGGCGUAAAGCGCACGUAGGCGGAUUGUUAAGUUAGGGGUGAAAUCCCAGGGCUCAACCCUGGAACUGCCUUUAAUACUGGCAAUCUCGAGUCCGAGAGAGGUGAGUGGAAUUCCGAGUGUAGAGGUGAAAUUCGUAGAUAUUGGGAAGAACACCGGUGGCGAAGGCGGCUCUCUGGACCGAUACUGACGCUGAGGCGCGAAAGCGUGGGGAGCAAACAGG